This is a non-coding RNA of Spiroplasma mirum ATCC 29335, 423 nucleotides long. It matches the Rfam family "transfer-messenger RNA". Rfam says of the family: Bacterial tmRNA, also known as 10Sa RNA or SsrA, is named for its dual tRNA and mRNA-like properties. Lineage: Bacteria; Bacillati; Mycoplasmatota; Mollicutes; Entomoplasmatales; Spiroplasmataceae. The record is from Rfam.
GGGGAUGUCUUGGCUUCGACAGGAAUGGUAGAAUUUCAUCGGCAGUAGUUUGGCAGACUAUAAUGCUUCUAGGUUUGAAGAAACGCAAACAAAAAAGAAAAACAAGACAAAAUUGCAAUGCCAGUAUUUAUGAUGAACAAUCAAUUUGCUGGGGCAAUGUUAGCCGCUUAAUAUUCGCUGUUAGAGUUUUGGCUAAUCGUUAGUGUUAUUAAUUGUAGAUUAUUAAUGAGCUAAUGUAGAAGAAAAUUAAUCUAAUCGGGAUUAUAAUUGAUAGUGUUAUAAUCUUUAAAAAUAAUUAUUUAGUUAUAAGGUUAGUUGUUUUGUCCUAUUAUCUUAUAAUGAAUUAAAACUGAUAAAACUAAACUGUAGAAGAUGAUUGGAAAUUGUUUGUGGACGCGGGUUCAAUUCCCGCCAUCUCCACCA